RNAcentral lists this ribosomal RNA (399 nucleotides) under uncultured eukaryote. RNAcentral's name for it is "partial 18S ribosomal RNA". It matches the Rfam family "Eukaryotic small subunit ribosomal RNA", at positions 592 to 976 of the family's 1831-position model. The record is from RNAcentral.
CAAUAGCGUAUAUUAAUGUUGUUGCAGUUAAAAAGCUCGUAGUUGGAUUUCUGGUGGGAGCGGUUGGUCUGCCCCGCGAGGGGUAGUAACUGAGCCGUAUCCGGCCCUUUUCGGGUUGAUCGUGGUUGGCAUUAAUUUGUCGGUGCGGGAGGCCCGUCGUUUACUGUGAACAAAUUAGAGUGUUCAAAGCAAAGUGUUUUUGAAUAUAUCAGCAUGGAAUAAUGAGAUAGGACUUUGGUGGUUCGUGCUCUCGGGUACGAUAUUUUGUUGGUUUGCACGCCAAAGUAAUGAUUAAUAGGAGCAGUUGGGGGUAUUCGUAUUCAAUUGUCAGAGGUGAAAUUCUUGGAUUUCUAGAAGACGAACUACUGCGAAAGCAUUUACCAAGGAUGUUUUCAUUAA